RNAcentral lists this ribosomal RNA (490 nucleotides) under uncultured bacterium. Its description in RNAcentral is "partial 16S ribosomal RNA". It matches the Rfam family "Bacterial small subunit ribosomal RNA", at positions 29 to 507 of the family's 1533-position model. The record is from RNAcentral.
AGUGAACGCUGGCGGUAGGCCUAACACAUGCAAGUCGAACGGCAGCACAGGAGAGCUUGCUCUCUGGGUGGCGAGUGGCGGACGGGUGAGGAAUACAUCGGAAUCUGCCCAGUCGUGGGGGAUAACGUAGGGAAACUUACGCUAAUACCGCAUACGACCUUCGGGUGAAAGAGGGGGAUCGCAAGACCUCUCGCGAUUGGAUGAGCCGAUGUCGGAUUAGCUAGUUGGCGGGGUAAUGGCCCACCAAGGCGACGAUCCGUAGCUGGUCUGAGAGGAUGAUCAGCCACACUGGAACUGAGACACGGUCCAGACUCCUACGGGAGGCAGCAGUGGGGAAUAUUGGACAAUGGGCGCAAGCCUGAUCCAGCCAUACCGCGUGGGUGAAGAAGGCCUUCGGGUUGUAAAGCCCUUUUGUUGGGAAAGAAAUCCUUCAGGCUAAUACCCUGGGAGGAUGACGGUACCCAAAGAAUAAGCACCGGCUAACUUCGUG